RNAcentral lists this ribosomal RNA (484 nucleotides) under uncultured bacterium. RNAcentral describes it as "partial 16S ribosomal RNA". It matches the Rfam family "Bacterial small subunit ribosomal RNA", at positions 30 to 507 of the family's 1533-position model. The record is from RNAcentral.
AUUGAACGCUGGCGGCAGGCCUAACACAUGCAAGUCGAGCAGAUGAAGGGAGCUUGCUCCUGGAUUCAGCGGCGGACGGGUGAGUAAUGCCUAGGAAUCUGCCUGGUAGUGGGGGAUAACGUCCGGAAACGGGCGCUAAUACCGCAUACGUCCUGAGGGAGAAAGUGGGGGAUCUUCGGACCUCACGCUAUCAGAUGAGCCUAGGUCGGAUUAGCUAGUUGGUGGGGUAAAGGCCUACCAAGGCGACGAUCCGUAACUGGUCUGAGAGGAUGAUCAGUCACUCGUGAACUAUGAUACGUGCAGGACUGUUGGGGGCGUAAGUGGUGGUGAAUAAUGUACAAUAUGCGAACGGGUGCUGCAGGCAUGCCGCGUGUGUUAAGAAGGUCUUGGUAUUGUAAAGCUCCUUAUGUUCGUAUGAUGACCAUUAAAUUAAUACCUGUCUUUUCUGACGUUACCUUCAAGAUGAGCGCCGUCUAACUUCGUG